This 253-nucleotide ribosomal RNA is filed under the name uncultured bacterium. Its description in RNAcentral is "partial 16S ribosomal RNA". It matches the Rfam family "Bacterial small subunit ribosomal RNA", at positions 524 to 776 of the family's 1533-position model. The record is from RNAcentral.
UACGAAGGGGACUAGCGUUGUUCGGAAUUACUGGGCGUAAAGCGUGCGUAGGCGGUGUCUUAAGUUUGUUGUGAAAUCUCCCGGCUUAACCGGGAGGGUGCGGCGAAUACUGAGAUGCUGGAGUGCGGGAGAGGUAAGCGGAAUUCCUGGUGUAGCGGUGAAAUGCGCAGAUAUCAGGAGGAACACCAAUUGCGAAGGCAGCUCGCUGGGACGUUACUGACGCUGAGACGCGAAAGCGUGGGGAGCAAACAGG